RNAcentral lists this ribosomal RNA (460 nucleotides) under uncultured bacterium. Its description in RNAcentral is "partial 16S ribosomal RNA". It matches the Rfam family "Bacterial small subunit ribosomal RNA", at positions 338 to 795 of the family's 1533-position model. The record is from RNAcentral.
CCUACGGGGGGCAGCAUUGAGGAAUAUUGGUCAAUGGGCGCGAGCCUGAACCAGCCAAGUAGCGUGAAUGAUGACUGCCCUACGGGUUGUAAACUUCUUUUAUAAAGGAAUAAAGUGAGGCACGUGUGCCUUUUUGUAUGUACUUUAUGAAUAAGGAUCGGCUAACUCCGUGCCAUCAGCCGCGGUAAUACGGAGGAUCCGAGCGUUAUCCGGAUUUAUUGGGUUUAACGGGAGCGUAGAUGGGUUGUUAAGUCAGUUGUGAAAGUUUGCGGCUCAACCGUAAAAUUGCAAUUGAUACUGGCAGUCUUGAGUACAGUUGAGGUAGGCGGAAUUCGUGGUGUAGCGGUGAAAUGCUUAGAUAUCACGAAGAACUCCGAUUGCGAAGGCAGCUUACUAAACUGCCACUGACAUUGAUGCUCGAAAGUGUGGGUAUCAAACAGGAUUAGAUACCCCUGUAGUC